RNAcentral lists this ribosomal RNA (253 nucleotides) under uncultured bacterium. Its description in RNAcentral is "partial 16S ribosomal RNA". It matches the Rfam family "Bacterial small subunit ribosomal RNA", at positions 524 to 776 of the family's 1533-position model. The record is from RNAcentral.
UACGUAGGGAGCAAGCGUUGUCCGGAAUCAUUGGGCGUAAAGCGCGCGUAGGCGGCCCCGUAAGUCCGCUGUGAAAGUCAAAGGCUCAACCUUUGAAAGCCGGUGGAUACUGUGGGGCUAGAGUCCGGAAGAGGCGAGUGGAAUUCCUGGUGUAGCGGUGGAAUGCGCAGAUAUCAGGAGGAACACCAAUAGCGAAGGCAGCUCGCUGGGACGGUACUGACGCUGAGGAGCGAAAGCGUGGGGAGCGAACAGG